UCUCUCUCUCUCUCUCUCUCUCUCUCUCGUAUCACAGACCUGUAUAGCUCUGCUCUCUCGCUCGCUCUUUCACUCACCAUUGUCGUCUGAGAUAUCCAGCGAGAGUGCUCUGGAUGAGAGAAGUCAUCGGAGGGCAGCACUUGAAGCAUCUCUUCAUGAGGUUUUAUUUUAGAUAGUAAAAUUUGUGAAUGGGAAAAAAGAUCACAUUCCACCCAUACCGAAUCUUGAAGGUGUCUCCUUUCCCUAUGAAAUUACUGUCUCAAGGAUGAAAAUCGAACAGCUUGGAUUUAGCCCACAUACAUAGCAUUCAACUUUUCUAGGAACCUAAGAAGAAGAUUUAAGGUGCAAGCUUGGAUUUGAGGAACAUGUAUCUCCAUGGUAACAAAUUGGAACUCGACUGGUACCUUGUACAGUAGUGAACACCAGCAUUGUAAAUUUUGACUUUACUAGCAUUUUAUCUAGAUUGUAUAU
This is a long non-coding RNA of Camellia sinensis, 471 nucleotides long. RefSeq lists it as uncharacterized. The record is from RefSeq and is a predicted model, not a curated record. NCBI's taxonomy places the organism in Eukaryota, Viridiplantae, Streptophyta, Magnoliopsida, Ericales, Theaceae.